RNAcentral lists this ribosomal RNA (460 nucleotides) under uncultured bacterium. Its description in RNAcentral is "partial 16S ribosomal RNA". It matches the Rfam family "Bacterial small subunit ribosomal RNA", at positions 338 to 795 of the family's 1533-position model. The record is from RNAcentral.
CCUACGGGAGGCAGCAGUGAGGAAUAUUGGUCAAUGGGCGGAAGCCUGAACCAGCCAAGUCGCGUGAGGGAUUAAGGCCCUGCGGGUCGUAAACCUCUUUUGCCGGGGAGCAGAGGUCCGGACGUGUCCGGGCCUGGCGAGUACCCGGAGAAAAAGCAUCGGCAAACUCCGUGCCAGCAGCCGCGGUAAUACGGAGGAUGCGAGCGUUAUCCGGAUUUAUUGGGUUAAAGGGGUGCGUAGGCGGGCAUUUAAGCCGGCGGUCAAAUGUCGGGGCUCAACCCCGGCCGGCCGUCGGAACUGGAUGCCUUGAGUGGGCGAGAAGUAUGCGGAAUGCGUGGUGUAGCGGUGAAAUGCAUAGAUAUCACGCAGAACCCCGAUUGCGAAGGCAGCAUACCGGCGCCCUACUGACGCUGAGGCACGAAAGUGCGGGUAUCGAACAGGAUUAGAUACCCCAGUAGUC